UACGUAGGGGGCAAGCGUUGUCCGGACUUACUGGGCGUAAAGCGUGUGCAGGCGGGCCGCUAUGUGCCGUGUGAAAGCUCUCAGCUUAUCUGGGAGAGGUCGCGGUAGACAGGCAGCCUGGAGGCUCGGAGAGGUCAGUGGAAUUCUCGGUGUAGUGGUGAAAUGCGUAGAGAUCCGGAAGAACACCGGUGGCGAAGGCGGUCUGCUGGGCAGUAGCUGACACUGAGGCGCGACAGCGUGGGGAGCAAACAGG
RNAcentral lists this ribosomal RNA (253 nucleotides) under uncultured bacterium. RNAcentral describes it as "partial 16S ribosomal RNA". It matches the Rfam family "Bacterial small subunit ribosomal RNA", at positions 524 to 776 of the family's 1533-position model. The record is from RNAcentral.